RNAcentral lists this ribosomal RNA (919 nucleotides) under Citrobacter sp. SAF. RNAcentral describes it as "bacterial SSU rRNA". It matches the Rfam family "Bacterial small subunit ribosomal RNA", at positions 29 to 947 of the family's 1533-position model. Lineage: Bacteria; Pseudomonadati; Pseudomonadota; Gammaproteobacteria; Enterobacterales; Enterobacteriaceae. RNAcentral also lists the same sequence under 1 other name. The record is from RNAcentral.
UUGAACGCUGGCGGCAGGCCUAACACAUGCAAGUCGUAACAAGGUAACCCGGGCGGCCGCUCUAGCCUGACUAGUGGCGGACGGGUGAGUAAUGUCUGGGAAACUGCCCGAUGGAGGGGGAUAACUACUGGAAACGGUAGCUAAUACCGCAUAAUGUCGCAAGACCAAAGAGGGGGACCUUCGGGCCUCUUGCCAUCGGAUGUGCCCAGAUGGGAUUAGCUUGUUGGUGAGGUAACGGCUCACCAAGGCGACGAUCCCUAGCUGGUCUGAGAGGAUGACCAGCCACACUGGAACUGAGACACGGUCCAGACUCCUACGGGAGGCAGCAGUGGGGAAUAUUGCACAAUGGGCGCAAGCCUGAUGCAGCCAUGCCGCGUGUAUGAAGAAGGCCUUCGGGUUGUAAAGUACUUUCAGCGGGGAGGAAGGGGUUAAGGUUAAUAACCUUAGCCAUUGACGUUACCCGCAGAAGAAGCACCGGCUAACUCCGUGCCAGCAGCCGCGGUAAUACGGAGGGUGCAAGCGUUAAUCGGAAUUACUGGGCGUAAAGCGCACGCAGGCGGUCUGUCAAGUCGGAUGUGAAAUCCCCGGGCUCAACCUGGGAACUGCAUUCGAAACUGGCAGGCUUGAGUCUCGUAAAGGGGGGUAGAAUUCCAGGUGUACCGUUGAAAUGCGUAGAGAGAUCUGGAGGAAUACCGGUGGCGAAGGCGGCCCCCUGGACAAAGACUGACGCUCAGGUGCGAAAGCGUGGGGAGCAAACAGGAUUAAAUACCCUGGUAGUCCACGCCGUAAACGAUGUCUAUUUGGAGGUUGUGCCCUUGAGGCGUGGCUUCCGAGCUAACGCGUUAAAUAGACCGCCUGGGGAAUACGGCCCAAGGUUAAAACAUUAAUNUCCCGGGCCCCANAACUNGGAAUUUNUUUU